This is a long non-coding RNA of Capsicum annuum, 974 nucleotides long. RefSeq lists it as uncharacterized. The record is from RefSeq and is a predicted model, not a curated record. Lineage: Eukaryota; Viridiplantae; Streptophyta; Magnoliopsida; Solanales; Solanaceae. The transcript has 3 exons.
GAAAUUUUGGUUGUACUACAAAAGGCAUUUAUGUAAAUAAAAUCAAAGAUGAAGGUGAAUUAAAUUCUCUCAUCUGGAUAUCCAGGUGCUCAUCGCGUAGAUCCACUAUGGCGAGUUCUAAGCUCCAUCUGGUUUCCCACUGGGUUCCACACCUAACAUUACUUUAUUGGUCUCUUCCUCCGGUAAGGUUUUUUUCCUUCUUUGAAUUGUGUGUGAGAGGGAAAGGAACAUCCGCCACAUUGAUAGACGUUAUAUGAAAAUUUGAAGAAUCAGAAUUCUGAAUUUUGCUUGGUUGUCUGGAUAUCGGGUAUGGUGUGAUGCCUCUUCCACCUACUUUUUCUUUAGAAUAUCUUUUGUUGAAGAAAGAAAUCCGAAAUUGUCGUUUGCUAUACUUAUCUAAUAGAUGCAAACUAAAGAGGAAGAAACAAACAAGAAAAGAAUGAAGCAGUGCGCCAAGAUGUUAGUGAUAGAGUAAAAAUUUUAACUAGGAGGUUCAAAUAUGAAAGUAAACACACAAAAUAUCAAAGGGUUCAACAUCUAUUAUACAUCAUAAAAGAUAAUUUUAAUCAUAUGUAAACAGUAUAAUUUUUUGCGGACCUCCCUUGCCUAUAUGUGGCUCCGCCCCUACUAGAUGUUUGAUAUAUUAUUUGACUAAAUUUUUCUUGGAGUAAAAUGUAUUACUUGAAAAGAUCCCACAAUAAGUGACUACCAAGAAAUCAGAAGUCAAACUGAAAUUGAAAGUAGAGGAGCUUACUAAUGAAUGACUUGAAAAGAAGAUUAGCUCGCUAUCACAAAAAAAAAAAAAUAUGUAGGAAGAGUCUAUUAAACACUAAAAGAAAAGGAGAUUGUUCUCACGUCUCUGAGACAUACAAAUGAUAAGGUUUACCUGAAGAUUAUUCCGAUUUGAUAAUGUAUAUGUAUAUAGAUAUGUACUUAGAAAAAUAAGACAGAAAAAAAAAACACAGUUCCCAAAA